Non-coding RNA from Myotis lucifugus (little brown bat), 76 nucleotides. The record is from Rfam. Lineage: Eukaryota; Metazoa; Chordata; Mammalia; Chiroptera; Vespertilionidae.
GGUGGUUCUUGGGUGAUGCACCCCAGAACUAGAGAGGAGGAAGGCUGAUUCUGGGGUGCAUCACCUGAGAACUGCC